RNAcentral lists this ribosomal RNA (406 nucleotides) under uncultured bacterium. Its description in RNAcentral is "partial 16S ribosomal RNA". It matches the Rfam family "Bacterial small subunit ribosomal RNA", at positions 30 to 526 of the family's 1533-position model. The record is from RNAcentral.
AUUGAACGCUGGCGGCAGGCUUAACACAUGCAAGUCGAACGAGUGGCGGACGGGUGAGUAAUGUCUGGGAAACUGCCCGAUGGAGGGGGAUAAAUACUGGAAACAGUAGCUAAUACCGCCUACCAUUGGCUGAGCCCAGAUGGGAUUAGCUAGUAGGUGGGGUAACGGCUCACCUAGGCGACGAUCCCUAGCUGGUCUGAGAGGAUGACCAGCCACACUGGAACUGAGACACGGUCCAGACUCCUACGGGAGGCAGCAGUGGGGAAUAUUGCACAAUGGGCGCAAGCCUGAUGCAGCCAUGCCGCGUGUAUGAAGAAGGCCUUCGGGUUGUAAAGUACUUUCAGCGAGGAGGCGUUACUCGCAGAAGAAGCACCGGCUAACUCCGUGCCAGCAGCCGCGGUAAUUC